GCUCAGUAGUAAACUUUAAAUUACAUUUCACUCGCCCGGGAACUACGAGCUAAGCUUAAAACCCAAAGGACUUGACGGUACCCCACAUCCACCUAGAGGAGCCUGUCCUAUAAUCGAUAACCCCCGUUUAACCUCACCAUUUUUAGCCAAUUCAGCCUGUAUACCUCCGUCGUCAGCUUACCACGUGAGCGCAAGUGAGCUCAAUAUUUUUCUAAAACACGUCAGGUCAAGGUGCAACUUAUAAAAUGGGAAGAGAUGGGCUACACUUUCUAGCAUAGAACAAACGAAAGACCCAAUGAAAAUCAGUCAGAAGGCGGAUUUAGUAGUAAAUAGAAACCAGAGAGUUCAAUUUAAUGCGGCACUGGGGUGUGUACACACCGCCCGUCACCCUCCUCUAACGCUAAAAACAGUUCUUAACCCAUUUCAGCUUAAUAGAAGAGGUAAGUCGUAACAUGGUAAGUAUACCGGAAGGUGUGCUUGGAUA
RNAcentral lists this ribosomal RNA (484 nucleotides) under Dryadobates olfersioides. RNAcentral describes it as "partial small subunit ribosomal RNA". It matches the Rfam family "Bacterial small subunit ribosomal RNA", at positions 838 to 1523 of the family's 1533-position model. Lineage: Eukaryota; Metazoa; Chordata; Amphibia; Anura; Aromobatidae. The record is from RNAcentral.